Long non-coding RNA from Acipenser ruthenus (sterlet), 1612 nucleotides. RefSeq lists it as uncharacterized. The record is from RefSeq and is a predicted model, not a curated record. NCBI's taxonomy places the organism in Eukaryota, Metazoa, Chordata, Actinopteri, Acipenseriformes, Acipenseridae. The transcript is spliced from 5 exons.
GGAAUGUCAGCAGCAGCCCCAUAAAACCAACCUGGGUGCCCUUCACAUCAACAGCCUCUACAGAGCAAAUCCUGGACUUCUCCUUGCUGCUCAUGAAUGAUAACUGGAGUGGUCCCAGAGUCUCCAAUGUCAUCUACCUGGGUGACGUCCUUCACAUCGAGGCUUCUGUUGCCGUCGACAACCACGUGCCGCUACGGCUGUACUUCGACAGCUGCAUCGCGACCCUGAGUGACCACAAGGACUCUGAGCCCAGAUAAGCAGUCGUGGACAAGCUUGGCUGCCUGAUGGAUAGCAAGUCUCAAGACUCCUCCUCUUCAUUCACUAGACCUGCUCUGAACAAGCUGCGCUUUGACAUUGCUGCUUUCAAGUUCCAGGGCAAUUCCAGGAGCAUGGUGGGUCUCUGAGGAUGGCUCCUCUGCAGUGUGUGGGUGCUGUGACUCCGGCUCCUGCUCUGGGACACCCUAGUUCCUCACAGGCCCUCUUCCUCCCAGGCAGGGAAGGAGCUACAGGAUUCCUGCAGAGAUCAACCAGCCCAACUGGAGCGGAAAAUGGUUGCAGGAGAGAGCGGCUCCUCUUGAUCCAGCUGGCCAGGACCCCCAAGUGCAUGUAAAGGAGAUCACCAUUGCCCCCCUGACCGUGGUUCAUGUAGUCCGAGAUCAUGCUCAGUAAGGAAUCCCUGUACCACCCCCUGCAGCUUGUGGAAGAAGUGCAGGGUAAGUGCAGCUCUCAAUGCUACUGAGCUCUGAACCAGCUUGCUUUUAAUGGAGGGAUUAGCCUGCUUUUAUGUAUUUAUCUAAAGAGUGUAACAGUUGUUAUUUCAAAUGAAAGACUUAGUACUUGUAGUCUGCAUUGUCAUCUACUGUUCCAUUACUCCUGUAAGUAGUGUAUACACUAAGCUAUAGCUGGUUCAGCAUCAGGCCAGAGUGUGUUGACCAAUCCCAAUGUUUCUGUACAUGAGUGAGUAGAUAGUGAUGCUCUUGGAGUUGCUACUCCUGAGUCGUCAAUGGGUGUGGCUUCCCUCCCGCACUGUCCUGUUAACCCCUCUGUCUCGGACUCGGGCUCCUCCUGUGCCUGUGCUGGCAGUCUCGGCUGUGGCUCUGGCUCUCUCCUGUGCUGUCCUGUUGGCUGUGUUCCUGAAGAGGCGCUCCCAGUCUAGUGACAAACUGCUCUCUGUGUCUUCAUGAUGUGUUUGAAUAAUUAAAGCCUUGUCAAAGCUAAUGGAGUUGCUCGGUGGGUUGUGUGAUUUGGUUCCCUUUUUAAUAGGGGGUGUUUCAUAAUAUCGAUGCUUGAAGAUACAAGUCCUUUUACCCAAACUGCACAAAGUGACAUCUCUUCUAUAAUACAUGCAAUGUAUCUAUAAUUGUGGAACUAUACUCUCAAUGCCAGAUCUUUUUGAUUCCUAGAAUCUGUAACUGAAUAUUCAACUGACAUAUUAAAUUGAACAGUGACUGCAUCAAAGUGGUUUAACUUGUACACUAACCUCCUUAUUUGCAUUUCCUGAAACUUUUUUUUCUCUUCAAUGGUUACUGUAUUGCCCUGCUACUCAAACAGUACUCUGUGUUAACUAAGGGAUGCCUUGGCUUCAUUCACUCUUCAGAACUCUGAUCAUGCU